UCCAACUGGAAUAAGAGACCAAUAAGGAAAAUUUUGUUUUACUCCUCAUAAUUACAAUAAUGAUUAAAUACAUUUUAUUAUGAAAGUAAAUAAAAUUACAGAGAAUAAUAAGAGGAUAACAAUGAUAUCCAUCACCCAGCUAUAACACACCUUAACAUUUUGCCACUUGUUUCCUUUAGGCUUUUUCUUAAUUAAUAAAGUCCUUAUAAAUGUUCUCCAGUUCCAAUUUUUUCUUCCACUAUCCAGAAGUAACAGUAAUCUGAAUUUUGUAUUUUAAUCCAUAAAUAUUUAAUAAUACUUUUUCAUUUAACAUUUUUAAAUGUAAGUUUUUUAUAUAAGUUUCUCAUUUUAAAACUACCAUUUCACAGUAUGAUUUUUACACUCAGUGUUUUGAGGUUUAUAUUGAAACUUAAAGCUAAGAGAUUUAUGCCUUCAGCUUUUGUGAUACUAUGAAUGAGGUCUUUGUUUCAAGUACAUUUUCUAAUUGGUUAGAGCCAGUAUAUGGGAACUCUAAUGACUUGGAAUCAAAGAACCUUUCUCAACUCAUUUAAUAAUUUACAAUAGUUUAUAGUUUCAUCAAAUUUUCUACAUGGGCAAUCAUCUGAGAAUAAGGACAAGCAAGCAGUUCUAGAAUGAUCAUCUUUCUCAGUGUGAUCUGCUACUCUGCAGAAUAAAAAGCUCACAGGAUAUCUGAUUUCUAAACUAAGAUCACUCUCCAGUACCUACAAACCUAUGUUCGUAUGCAGUUAUUCAGGAUUCUCCUAUUUCCCAUCUUGAAUGCUUUACAAGAUAUAUUAUUCUAAAGAUGCUCUUUUCUUGCUCUGUCACCCAAAUAUUUUAUUUCCCAGAGAUUUCUUGAUUUGACUUCAAACGGAGCACUCUAAAACAAAGAACUGGAAACAAAUGCAAAGCGGUAUUUUUUAUUUCAAGAAAAGCAUAUUACCUCAUUUAAAAACGAUGAGAUUUUUAGAGAAACGUUCUUUAGAUUUAGGAAUCUUCUAAUUAGAUUUCUACAUGAAUAGAUUGAAGCAAAGAUUCUCUUUUUGUUUGUCAACACAAAUUGGAGAAAAAAUAUGAGUUCAACAUCAUCUGCUCUCAUAGAGAAGAAAAGUAAAGAGUCACAUGAAAAUAAAGGUCAAAGACCUAUUAUUAUCUUUUUGGCAUUUAUUCUGACCUCCUAACAUUGCUAGGAAAAAAAGACCAGUAAUCUUAAUAAAGCAAGAGUCUCCUGGGAAAGCAUCGUCUGGUUUCCAUGUGAACAGGAAGCCAGAGCUUUGACUAUGUCCUUCCUUAUUAUUUUGAAAUGACACUGUUAAAAGCUGUUUUCUUUAAACUCUGCACUAUAGAAAACAUUACCAAAUAAAUAUGUGUCAAUUAGUGUUCUUUGGAUGCAAACAAAUAAACCAACUAAACAAAAUGUUACUGGAAAUAUUUUGGGGAUAUA
RNAcentral lists this long non-coding RNA (1444 nucleotides) under Marmota monax (woodchuck). The record is from RNAcentral. Lineage: Eukaryota; Metazoa; Chordata; Mammalia; Rodentia; Sciuridae.